This 301-nucleotide ribosomal RNA is filed under the name uncultured bacterium. Its description in RNAcentral is "partial 16S ribosomal RNA". It matches the Rfam family "Bacterial small subunit ribosomal RNA", at positions 509 to 807 of the family's 1533-position model. The record is from RNAcentral.
CAGUAGCCACGGUAAUACGUAGGUGGCAAGCGUUGUCCGGAAUUAUUGGGCGUAAAGGGCUCGCAGGCGGUCUCUUAAGUCUGAUGUGAAAGCCCCCGGCUCAACCGGGGAGGGUCAUUGGAAACUGGGAAACUUGAGUGCAGAAGAGGAGAGUGGAAUUCCACGUGUAGCGGUGAAAUGCGUAGAGAUGUGGAGGAACACCAGUGGCGAAGGCGACUCUCUGGUCUGUAACUGACGCUGAGGAGCGAAAGCGUGGGGAGCGAACAGGAUUAGAGACCCGAGUAGUCCCUGUCUCUUAUAC